This 434-nucleotide ribosomal RNA is filed under the name uncultured bacterium. RNAcentral describes it as "partial 16S ribosomal RNA". It matches the Rfam family "Bacterial small subunit ribosomal RNA", at positions 29 to 508 of the family's 1533-position model. The record is from RNAcentral.
AGCGAACGCUGGCGGCAGGCCUAACACAUGCAAGUCGAACGAACUCUUCGGAGUUAGUGGCGGACGGGUGAGUAACACGUGGGAACGUGCCUUUUGGUUCGGCAUAACUCAGGGAAACUUGUGCUAAUACCGAAUGUGCCCUUCGGGGGAAAGAUUUAUCGCCAUUAGAGCGGCCCGCGUCUGAUUAGCUAGUUGGUGAGGUAACGGCUCACCAAGGCGACGAUCAGUAGCUGGUCUGAGAGGAUGACCAGCCACACUGGGACUGAGACACGGCCCAGACUCCUUCGGGAGGGAGCAGUGGGGAAUCUUGCGCAAUGGGCGAAAGCCUGACGCAGCCAUGCCGCGUGAAUGACGAAGGUCUUAGGAUUGUAAAAUUCUUUCACCGGGGACGAUAAUGACGGUACCCGGAGAAGAAGCCCCGGCUAACUUCGUGC